This 462-nucleotide ribosomal RNA is filed under the name uncultured bacterium. RNAcentral describes it as "partial 16S ribosomal RNA". It matches the Rfam family "Bacterial small subunit ribosomal RNA", at positions 28 to 507 of the family's 1533-position model. The record is from RNAcentral.
GACGAACGCUGGCGGCGUGCUUAACACAUGCAAGUCGAGCGGAAAGGCCCUUCGGGGUACUCGAGCGGCGAACGGGUGAGUAACACGUGAGUAACCUGCCCCAGACUUUGGGAUAACCCUCGGAAACGGGGGCUAAUACCUGAUACGACACAGCUUCGCAUGGGGUCUGUGUGGAAAGUUUUUCGGUUUGGGAUGGGCUCGCGGCCUAUCAGCUUGUUGGUGGGGUGCUGGCCUACCAAGGCGACGACGGGUAGCCGGCCUGAGAGGGCGACCGGCCACACUGGGACUGAGACACGGCCCAGACGCCUACGGGAGGCAGCAGUGGGGAAUAUUGCAAAAUGGGCGGAAGCCUGAUGCAGCGACGCCGCGUGAGGGAUGACGGCCUUCGGGUUGUAAACCUCUUUCAGCAGGGACGAAGCGUAAGUGACGGUACCUGCAGAAGAAGCGCCGGCCAACUACGUG